This 253-nucleotide ribosomal RNA is filed under the name uncultured bacterium. RNAcentral's name for it is "partial 16S ribosomal RNA". It matches the Rfam family "Bacterial small subunit ribosomal RNA", at positions 524 to 776 of the family's 1533-position model. The record is from RNAcentral.
UACAGAGGUCCCAAGCGUUGUUCGGAUUCAUUGGGCGUAAAGAGCGUGUAGGCGGUUCGAUAAGUCGGCUGUGAAAGUCCAGGGCUCAACCCUGGGAUGCCGGUCGAAACUGUCGGACUAGAGUUCGGAAGAGGCGAGUGGAAUUCCCGGUGUAGCGGUGAAAUGCGCAGAUAUCGGGAGGAACACCAAUGGCGAAGGCAGCUCGCUGGGACGUUACUGACGCUGAGACGCGAAAGCGUGGGGAGCAAACAGG